RNAcentral lists this non-coding RNA (27 nucleotides) under Homo sapiens (human). The record is from RNAcentral. Lineage: Eukaryota; Metazoa; Chordata; Mammalia; Primates; Hominidae.
UGCUGGCCGAUCUAGGAUGACCUUAGC